Molecule: ribosomal RNA, 108 nt
Filed under: Glossina pallidipes
Lineage: Eukaryota; Metazoa; Arthropoda; Insecta; Diptera; Glossinidae
Description: eukaryotic large subunit ribosomal RNA
Source: RNAcentral
AUCAGAAGAGUUUCCUUUUCUGAUUUAUAGUCGUACUACCAUGGAAGUCUUUCGAAGAGAGAUAUAGUACAUGAGCUAGAAGAGCAUGACAUUUACUGUUGUGUCGGU